AUUGCAAUUGCUGUAUCAUAUAGUAAGAUUAUGUUAAAUUUUGUAAGAUACUGCCAAACUGACUUCCAAAUUUUCUGUACCAUUUCGUGUUCCCACCAGCAAU
RNAcentral lists this microRNA precursor (103 nucleotides) under Marmota monax (woodchuck). Lineage: Eukaryota; Metazoa; Chordata; Mammalia; Rodentia; Sciuridae. The record is from RNAcentral.